This 3698-nucleotide small RNA is filed under the name Pan troglodytes (chimpanzee). Its description in RNAcentral is "retained intron". The record is from RNAcentral. Lineage: Eukaryota; Metazoa; Chordata; Mammalia; Primates; Hominidae.
AUCAGGGAGCACACCACAGGGCUCCCGGGGACAAUGACCACCUCUGCGGCACCCCUGAAGACAGAUACCAUAUGGCUGCCAUGCUGAACCCAGUCCAGGCCCCAUCAUGGCCUGACCCAGAUGACCAGGAGAAAUCAAGCUGGCAGGAGGGUGCGCAUAGUGAAGCUGGAAUAAUGCCCCAAACACAGGCUGGCUCUCAGCAGGGCCAGCCUUCCCAGCCACGACCCCGCUCCUCACCAUCCCUGCCCAGUGGCCCUAGGCACCUACCUUCUCCCAACCCUGCCUGGGCUCUCAACCAAAAUGUAAUGAGGCAGGUACGAUUGUUCCCAUUUGCAUUUGACAAGAAGGGACUCACAGAGGGGCCCAAGGCCACGUGAGUGUCACAGGGAAACAGGAUUUGAAUCCAGCAGGCUGCCUCCCUCUAGUGCAACCCCAAGACUGACCUGGCUCUGAUCUCAAGGCAGAUCAACUCCAAGUUCAAAAGGAAGGGGGACGAGAGCUCACCUGUGCAAUUGGCCUGAGAGCCGCAGAGGUCAGUGGUCCAAGGCUGGAGACUUGCAGAGUAGAGGACAAAGGGCGGUGGAGCAGGGGCUGCUCCAGGCCUUGGUCAUCACAACAGCUGCCAGGAGGCCACAGAUGUAGCAGAAAGAGCAGAAGCUUCAGAAUCAGAAUCAGACAUACCUGCUUGACUACUCAUAAGCCAUAUGACUCUGAACAGAUCAGUCAACCUCUUGGACCAUCAAUUUCUCUACCUGUAAAAUGGGGAUGAGAGUAAUAAUAAGAGGACCUACCUUUCAGGGCUGAGCAUGGGUUCUCUGUGAAAACGCUGCUGGAGAAGUACACAGCGGAGCCCAUCGAUGACUCAUCGGAGGAGUUUGUCAAUUUUGCAGCCAUUUUAGAGCAGAUCCUCAGCCACCGCUUCAAAGGUCCAGUGAGCUGGUUCAGCUCAGACGGGCAGCGGGGCUUCUGGGACUAUAUCCGGCUGGCCUGCAGCAAAGUGCCCAACAACUGUGUGAGCAGCAUCGAGAACAUGGAGAACAUCAGCACAGCCCGGGCCAAGGGCCGGGCAUGGAUCCGGGUGGCACUGAUGGAGAAGCGCAUGUCAGAAUACAUCACCACGGCUCUGCGUGACACCCGGACCACCAGGUCAGACUUCCCAGGCAACUCAGACCACAGGUCUCAGGGUGCACCUGCAUUGCCCAAACACAGCUGAUCCUUAAGUUCCUGCAGCAUCCUUCAGUUCCUGGACUACAAGUCCCAGCACCAGCACGCAUGGCUGAUUUCCCUCUUCCAGCCUGGCCUGCAGUCCCAGGACGAACUCUUUUUUUUUUUUUUUGAGGAGGAGUUUCGCUCUUGUUGCCCAGGCUGGAGUGCGAUGGCGCGAUCUCGGCUCACUGCAACCUCCGCCUCCUGGGUUCAAGCGAUUCUCCUGCCUCAGCCUCCUGAGUAGCUGGGAUUACAGGCAUACGCCACCAUGCCCAGCUAAUUUUGUAUUUUUAGUUUCUCCGUGUUGGUCAGGCUGGUCUCAAACUCCCAACCUCAGGUGAUCCUCCCGCCUUGGCCUCCCAAAGUGCUGGGAUUACAGGCAUGAGCCACCGCUCCUGGCCCCAGGACAAACUUUUACCACCACCACCACCACCACUUGCAAGUCAAAUCUAAUGCCCAUUAUUCGCCAUCAAUGCCCAGCACGCUCCACCCUUGCACACCUCUGGAUGAGCCUCAGCCAUGCACCAUCUCAAGUGUUGGCUUGCUCCAUGAUCUACAACACAGCCCUUCUGUCUCUCCAAACAACGAAAGCAGUUCUGUACUUGCUAUUCACGGACACAGAGUCCUUAUAUGGGGAGUUCAAUCCCUGCACUGUGGGUUCACAGGGAGGUUGGGUGCCUGAGGCAAGGGGUUACAAGGAGGAGUGUGCCUGUGUGGGCAGGUGCAUCUGAAGCUGUCUGGUUGUGGCGGGGGGCAUAUACCUCCCCAUCCCAAUUGGCCAUACCCAGCCUGAUGUUUUUACUGAAUUCCAUUCCUCAGUCUACACGUUUCAAGUUAACACGUUUUUUGCGCACCUACUGUAUACCAAGCACUAAUGAUUAAGACUUGCUUCCUGAUAUGAAGGAUCUGGGUAACCCAGUACUUGAUGAGGAAGGGGUAGGUCAGAGGGAGGAGUCGGCUCAGGGAACACCCAUUCUAGGUGAUGGGGCCACAGGUGCGAGCCCCAGGCUGAAGGGGGAGAGAGGCUCCAGGCCUGCGUGCAGAUCAGGAAGGAGAAUUGGCCUUCCUUCAGGAUGGGGUGGCAGUAAGCCAACAAUAGCAGCUCUGGGUGGGGGGGGGGGGCGCUCCAGGGGCCUGCUGCACCCUCAGGCCCUCUGCCUCCCCACAGACGGUUCUAUGACUCUGGAGCCAUCAUGCUGCGGGAUGAAGCCACCAUCCUCACCGGAAUGCUGAUCGGACUGAGCGCCAUCGACUUCAGCUUCUGUCUAAAGGGGGAAGUCCUGGACGGGAAGACCCCCGUGGUCAUCGAUUACACGCCCUACCUAAAGUUCACGCAGAGCUACGACUACCUGACGGACGAGGAGGAGCGGCACAGCGCCGAGAGCAGCACGAGCGAGGACAACUCGCCCGAGCACCCGUACCUGCCGCUCGUCACCGACGAGGACAGCUGGUACAGCAAGUGGCACAAGAUGGAGCAGAAGUUCCGCAUCGUCUACGCGCAGAAGGGCUACCUGGAGGAGCUGGUGCGUCUGCGCGAGUCGCAGCUGAAGGACCUGGAGGCGGAGAACCGGCGGCUUCAGCUGCAGCUGGAGGAGGCGGCGGCGCAGAACCAGCGCGAGAAACGGGAGCUGGAAGGCGUGAUCCUGGAGCUGCAGGAGCAGCUGUCUGAUCCCCAGUGACCACGCCCCUCUGGCCCAGGGUUCCAAGGAGCUCACUACACCCCUGGUCAAUCAAUGGCCCUCACUGGGAACGCUUAAUGGGGCCGAGGGCGCCAGCAACUCCAAGCUCUACCGGAGACACAGCUUCAUGAGCACGGAGCCGCUGUCAGCUGAAGCCAGUCUGAGCUCGGACUCCCAGCGCCUGGGAGAGGGCACGCGGGACGAGGAGCCCUGGGGUCCCAUCGGGAAGGACCCCACGCCCUCCAUGCUGGGCCUCUGCGGCUCCCUGGCCUCCAUUCCCAGCUGCAAGUCCCUGGCGAGCUUCAAAUCCAACGAGUGCCUGGUGAGCGACAGUCCCGAGGGCAGCCCAGCACUGAGCCCCAGCUGAGGAACAGCAUGGGCAGUGCCAGCCCCACCUGCCAGGGGCCAUGGACACCUGCCACCUUUCUUCAACAAGAGUCCCCCAAUCCAGGCUACCCUUCCAGAGAACGCUACCCACCCAGCCAGGGUUCUCUCGGGGAAGAUCUCGUCUGCUCACCUUAGCUUUCUGCCUUGGCAGCACGGGCUGCGGAAGAAAGCACGCUGGGCCAGGAGGCAGGGGUGCCCAAGCCACAGGGAGCCCCUGGGGAAGCCUGCUCCAUUCUUCUGGUGACCUUGGCGCUCCUUCACUCAUCUCCCCUGCCCCCUCAGGACCUGGUGGCCCAGCUUCCACACCCCCACCUCCCAGUCUCUAGCCUCUCCAUCUGUCUGUGUAUGGCCUGGAGUCACUCCUUCCUCAGCCCCCAGGGCAAGAGAGCUCUGUGGGGGAUCAGGCAAAUAAAAACCAGAGGACUG